Ictidomys tridecemlineatus (thirteen-lined ground squirrel) is the source of this 73-nucleotide non-coding RNA. NCBI's taxonomy places the organism in Eukaryota, Metazoa, Chordata, Mammalia, Rodentia, Sciuridae. The record is from Rfam.
GGAGAUAUAACUCAGUUGGUAGAGCGCUUGCCUUGUGUGCAUAAGGCCCUGGGUUCAAUCCCCAGCACCACCA